UAGGCCUCCUAUUUCCCCUGCUUUGGGAGCAGGGGGUCGUGGGUUCGAAUCCCGUCGCCCCG
This 62-nucleotide transfer RNA is filed under the name Caudoviricetes sp. Its description in RNAcentral is "tRNA-OTHER". The record is from RNAcentral. Lineage: Duplodnaviria; Heunggongvirae; Uroviricota; Caudoviricetes.